GUAGGUGAACCUGCGGAAGGAUCAUUAACACAAUACUUUCAUAUCAACCUUGGAGCACUGGAUGAACCUUUGAUUGCAAGCGCUGGAUUGGCAAUGGUUGGAUUUUAUUUAUAAAAUUCGGCUCUUCCAGCUAUAAUAUCCUCCGAGAUAUGGGCUUGACUUUCUUAGGUAUUACAGCCUCAACCAUGGCUGGCCUUUUUUUUUAAAAACUACUUGAAAUUUGUACUGAUUUGGGCUUCGGAUCGAGAGG
RNAcentral lists this unclassified non-coding RNA (250 nucleotides) under plant metagenome. Its description in RNAcentral is "partial contains small subunit ribosomal RNA, internal transcribed spacer 1, and 5.8S ribosomal RNA". The record is from RNAcentral.